Molecule: unclassified non-coding RNA, 387 nt
Filed under: Calyptridium pygmaeum
Lineage: Eukaryota; Viridiplantae; Streptophyta; Magnoliopsida; Caryophyllales; Montiaceae
Description: partial external transcribed spacer
Source: RNAcentral
GGUUCGUUCGUGUUGGCGGGCUCCCUGCUUUGAGCGGUGAACCGUCCGCGGCCGUUCCUCUUCAAGGAAUAGAUCCAGGGGCGGGCAAGCCCUGGGCGGAUAAUGGUUUCCUGUGUUGAAUGCCUUGUGAAGGCACCGCGACCCNGACGAGAUGAACAUCCGCCCGACGCCCCGUCCGGGGUGUCUGGUGGACCAUCCAAGCUGGGCCGUCGUCCACCCGCGCUCCGCCUCCGUGCGCGCGCGGCGUGGGCAAUGGCCUCUAGCUGUGCCCCGGGAUGCAGAACACUUUGGGGGCAGCCGGCCGCGAGCCGGAUGCGGCUGCCCGUUCAAGCGUUCUAUGCUAAGCACGAACGACGGUCGGCGCGCGUUGGGUCCCCGUUAGCUCGG